Molecule: ribosomal RNA, 750 nt
Filed under: uncultured cyanobacterium
Lineage: Bacteria; Bacillati; Cyanobacteriota
Description: bacterial SSU rRNA
Rfam family: Bacterial small subunit ribosomal RNA
Source: RNAcentral
GGGCUCAUCAAGUCUGCUGUCAAAGGUCGGAGGCUCAACUCCGGUUCGGCAGUGGAAACUGGUGGGCUAGAGGGCGACAGGGGUAGAGGGAAUUCCCAGUGUAGCGGUGAAAUGCGUAGAGAUUGGGAAGAACACCGGUGGCGAAAGCGCUCUACUGGGUCGCACCUGACCCUCAGGGACGAAAGCUAAGGUAGCGAAAGGGAUUAGAUACCCCUGUAGUCUUAGCCGUAAACGAUGGAUACUAGGCGUGGUUGGUAUCGACCCCAGCCGUGCCGAAGCUAACGCGUUAAGUAUCCCGCCUGGGGAGUACGCACGCAAGUGUGAAACUCAAAGGAAUUGACGGGGGCCCGCACAAGCGGUGGAGGAUGUGGUUUAAUUCGAUGCAACGCGAAGAACCUUACCAGGGCUUGACAUCCCGCGAAUCCCAGUGAAAGCUGGGAGUGCCUUCGGGGAACGAAGUGACAGGUGCUGCAUGGCUGUCGUCAGCUCGUGUCGUGAGAUGUUGGGUUAAGUCCCGCAACGAGCGCAACCCUUGUCCUUAGUUGCCAGCGCGUCAUGGCGGGGACUCUAAGGAGACUGCCGGUGUGAAACCGGAGGAAGGUGGGGAUGACGUCAAGUCCUCAUGGCCCUUACGUCCAGGGCCACACACGUGCUACAAUGGCUGGUACAAAGCGCAGCUAGCUCGCGAGAGUCAGCGAAUCGCAGAAAGCCAGUCUCAGUUCGGAUCGUAGGCUGCAAUUCGCCUGCGUG